AUUGAACGCUGGCGGCAGGCCUAACACAUGCAAGUCGAGCGGAUGAAGGGAGCUUGCUCCUGGAUUCAGCGGCGGACGGGUGAGUAAUGCCUAGGAAUCUGCCUGGUAGUGGGGGAUAACGUCCGGAAACGGGCGCUAAUACCGCAUACGUCCUGAGGGAGAAAGUGGGGGAUCUUCGGACCUCACGCUAUCAGAUGAGCCUAGGUCGGAUUAGCUAGUUGGUGGGGUAAAGGCCUACCAAGGCGACGAUCCGUAACUGGUCUGAGAGGAUGAUCAGUCACACUGGAACUGAGACACGGUCCAGACUCCUAAGGGAGGCAGCAGUGGGGAAUAUUGGACAGUGGGCGAAAGCCUGAUACAGCCAUGCCGCGUGUGUGAAGAAGGUCUUCGGAUUGUAAAGCACUUUAAGUUGGGAGGAAGGGCAGUAAGUUAAUACCUUGCUGUUUUGACGUUACCAACAGAAUAAGCACCGGCUAACUUCGUG
This 484-nucleotide ribosomal RNA is filed under the name uncultured bacterium. Its description in RNAcentral is "partial 16S ribosomal RNA". It matches the Rfam family "Bacterial small subunit ribosomal RNA", at positions 30 to 507 of the family's 1533-position model. The record is from RNAcentral.